GGACAACUGUUGGAAACGACAGCUAAUACCGGAUAUUAUGAGAUUCUCGCAUGGGAAACUUAUGAAAGCUAUAUGCGCCAAGAGAGAGCCUUGCGUUCCAUUAGCUAGUUGGUGGGGUAAUGGCCCACCAAGGCGACGAUGGAUAGCCGGCCUGAGAGGGUGAACGGCCACAAGGGGACUGAGACACGGCCCUUACUCCUACGGGAGGCAGCAGUGGGGAAUAUUGGACAAUGGGCCACAAGCCUGAUCCAGCAAUUCUGUGCGCACGAUGAAGGUCUUCGGAUCGUAAAGUGCUUUCAGUUGGGAAGAAGAAAGUGACGGUACCAACAGAAGAAGCGACGGCUAAAUACGUGCCAGCAGCCGCGGUAAUACGUAUGUCGCAAGCGUCAUCCGGAUUUAUUGGGCGUAAAGCGCGUCUAGGCGGAAAAAUAAGUCUGAUGUUAAAAUGCGGGGCUCAACUCCGUAUUGCGUUGGAAACUGUUUUUCUAGAGUACUGGAGAGGUGGGCGGAACUACAAGUGUAGAGGUGAAAUUCGUAGAUAUUUGUAGGAAUGCCGAUGGAGAAGUCAGCUCACUGGACAGAUACUGACGCUAAAGCGCGAAAGCGUGGGGAGCAAAACAGG
This 622-nucleotide ribosomal RNA is filed under the name uncultured bacterium. RNAcentral's name for it is "bacterial SSU rRNA". It matches the Rfam family "Bacterial small subunit ribosomal RNA", at positions 141 to 776 of the family's 1533-position model. The record is from RNAcentral.